GACAGAGGAGCCAAGCGUUGUCCGGAUUUAUUGGGCGUAAAGGGCGCGCAGGCGGCUACGCACGUCCGUUGUGAAAUCGCUCGGCUCAACUGGGCGGGGUCAGCGGAUACGGCGUAGCUGGAGCAAGCUAGGGGGCAAUGGAAUUCCCGGUGUAGUGGUGGAAUGCGUAGAUAUCGGGAGGAACACCAGUGGCGAAGGCGGUUGCCCGGAGCUUUGCUGACGCUGAGGCGCGAAAGCGUGGGGAGCGAUCCGG
Molecule: ribosomal RNA, 253 nt
Filed under: uncultured bacterium
Lineage: Bacteria
Description: partial 16S ribosomal RNA
Rfam family: Bacterial small subunit ribosomal RNA
Source: RNAcentral